RNAcentral lists this ribosomal RNA (470 nucleotides) under uncultured bacterium. Its description in RNAcentral is "partial 16S ribosomal RNA". It matches the Rfam family "Bacterial small subunit ribosomal RNA", at positions 28 to 507 of the family's 1533-position model. The record is from RNAcentral.
GACGAACGCUGGCGGCGUGCUUAACACAUGCAAGUCGAACGAGAUCCCAUGUGUAGCAAUACACAGGAAGAUCUAGUGGCGAACGGGUGAGGAACACGUGAGAAACGUACCCCAGACUUUGGGAUAACAGUCCGAAAGGACUGCUAAUACCAAAUAACGUCGGAAGUCCGCAUGGACAUCUGACGAAAGGGAUUCCGGUUUGGGAGCGUCUCGCGGACCUAUCAGCUAGUUGGAGGGGUGACGGCCCACCAAGGCAACGACAGGUAGCUGGUCUGAGAGGAUGGUCAGCCACACUGGGACUGAGACACGGCCCAGACUCCUACGGGAGGCAGCAGUGGGGAAUCUUGCGCAAUGGGCGAAAGCCUGACGCAGCAACGCCGCGUGCGGGAAGAAGGCUUUCGGGCUGUAAACCGCUUUCAGUAGGAACGAAACUGACGGUACCUACAGAAGAAGGAGCGGCCAACUAUGUG